UGCGGGGUAGAGCAGUUUGGUAGCUCGUCGGGCUCAUAACCCGAAGGUCAUAGGUUCAAAUCCUGUCCCCGCUA
RNAcentral lists this transfer RNA (74 nucleotides) under Candidatus Shikimatogenerans bostrichidophilus. RNAcentral's name for it is "tRNA-Met". It matches the Rfam family "tRNA". Rfam says of the family: Transfer RNA (tRNA) molecules are approximately 80 nucleotides in length. The record is from RNAcentral. Lineage: Bacteria; Pseudomonadati; Bacteroidota; Flavobacteriia; Flavobacteriales.